CUGUAAGCCUGUGAAGGUGUACUGUGAGGUAUGCUGGAGGUAUCAGAAGUGCGAAUGCUGACAUAAGUAACGAUAAAGCGGGUGAAAAGCCCGCUCGCCGGAAGACCAAGGGUUCCUGUCCAACGUUAAUCGGGGCAGGGUGAGUCGACCCCUAAGGCGAGGCCGAAAGGCGUAGUCGAUGGGAAACAGGUUAAUAUUCCUGUACUUGGUGUUACUGCGAAGGGGGGACGGAGAAGGCUAUGUUGGCCGGGCGACGGUUGUCCCGGUUUAAGCGUGUAGGCUGGUUUUCCAGGCAAAUCCGGAAAAUCAAGGCUGAGGCGUGAUGACGAGGCACUACGGUGCUGAAGCAACAAAUGCCCUGCUUCCAGGAAAAGCCUCUAAGCAUCAGGUAACAUCAAAUCGUACCCCAAACCGACACAGGUGGUCAGGUAGAGAAUACCAAGGCGCUUGAGAGAACUCGGGUGAAGGAACUAGGCAAAAUGGUGCCGUAACUUCGGGAGAAGG
Molecule: ribosomal RNA, 504 nt
Filed under: Escherichia coli
Lineage: Bacteria; Pseudomonadati; Pseudomonadota; Gammaproteobacteria; Enterobacterales; Enterobacteriaceae
Description: partial 23S ribosomal RNA
Rfam family: Bacterial large subunit ribosomal RNA
Source: RNAcentral